Long non-coding RNA from Sander lucioperca (pikeperch), 101 nucleotides. RefSeq lists it as uncharacterized. Lineage: Eukaryota; Metazoa; Chordata; Actinopteri; Perciformes; Percidae. The record is from RefSeq and is a predicted model, not a curated record. The transcript has 4 exons.
UUGUCAGUAAAACAAAUGUGUAAUUUAUAGUGGUGUCAACAAUAAUCGAUUCGGCAAUGCAUCGCAAUGCGGGGCAUGCACGAUUCAGCAUCGAUACGGCA